RNAcentral lists this ribosomal RNA (253 nucleotides) under uncultured bacterium. Its description in RNAcentral is "partial 16S ribosomal RNA". It matches the Rfam family "Bacterial small subunit ribosomal RNA", at positions 524 to 776 of the family's 1533-position model. The record is from RNAcentral.
UACGUAGGGUGCAAGCGUUGUCCGGAAUUAUUGGGCGUAAAGAGCGUGUAGGCGGCUCGGUAAGUCUGCUGUGAAAGUCCAAGGCUCAACCUUGGAAUGCCGGUGGAUACUGUCGAGCUCGAGUCCGGAAGAGGCGAGUGGAAUUCCUGGUGUAGCGGUGAAAUGCGCAGAUAUCAGGAGGAACACCAAUGGCGAAGGCAGCUCGCUGGGACGGUACUGACGCUGAGACGCGAAAGCGUGGGGAGCGAACAGG